RNAcentral lists this ribosomal RNA (497 nucleotides) under uncultured bacterium. Its description in RNAcentral is "partial 16S ribosomal RNA". It matches the Rfam family "Bacterial small subunit ribosomal RNA", at positions 28 to 507 of the family's 1533-position model. The record is from RNAcentral.
GAUGAACGCUGGCGGCGUGCCUAAUACAUGCAAGUCGAGCGAACAGAUAAGGAGCUUGCUCCUUUGACGUUAGCGGCGGACGGGUGAGUAACACGUGGGUAACCUACCUAUAAGACUGGGAUAACUUCGGGAAACCGGAGCUAAUACCGGAUAAUAUUUCGAACCGCAUGGUUCGAUAGUGAAAGAUGGUUUUGCUAUCACUUAUAGAUGGACCCGCGCCGUAUUAGCUAGUUGGUAAGGUAACGGCUUACCAAGGCGACGAUACGUAGCCGACCUGAGAGGGUGAUCGGCCACACUGGAACUGAGACACGGUCCAGACUCCUACGGGAGGCAGCAGUAGGGAAUCUUCCGCAAUGGGCGAAAGCGUGACGGAGCAACGCCGCGUGAGUGAUGAAGGUCUUCGGAUCGUAAAACUCUGUUAUUAGGGAAGAACAUACGUGUAAGUAACUGUGCACGUCUUGACGGUACCUAAUCAGAAAGCCACGGCUAACUACGUG